UCUAACAUGUGCGCGAGUCAUUGGGAUUCUUGUAAACCUAAAGGCGCAAUGAAAGUGAAGGUCUUCCUUAAGCGUUGACCGAGGGAGGAUGGCUCGCGUCACGAUGCGAGCCCGCACUCCCGGGGCGUCUCGUGCUCAUUGCGAGCAGAGGCGCACCCAGAGCGUACACGUUGGGACCCGAAAGAUGGUGAACUAUGCCUGGUCAGGACGAAGUCAGGGGAAACCCUGAUGGAGGUCCGUAGCGAUUCUGACGUGCAAAUCGAUCGUCGGAACUGGGUAUAGGGGCGAAAGACUAAUCGAACCAUCUAGUAGCUGGUUCCCUCCGAAGUUUCCCUCAGGAUAGCUGGCACUCGCUUGAGCGAGUCUCAUCUGGUAAAGCGAAUGAUUAGAGGCCUUGGGGCCGAAACGACCUCAACCUAUUCUCAAACUUUAAAUGGGUGAGAUCUCUGGCUUGCUUGAACGUUGAAGCCACGAGAUUAAAAUAAUGGAUCAGAGUGCCAAGUGGGCCAAUUUUGGUAAGCAGAACUGGCG
Molecule: ribosomal RNA, 531 nt
Filed under: Microdontomerus enigma
Lineage: Eukaryota; Metazoa; Arthropoda; Insecta; Hymenoptera; Torymidae
Description: LSU rRNA
Rfam family: Eukaryotic large subunit ribosomal RNA
Source: RNAcentral